UACAGAGACUGCAAGCGUUAUUCGGAUUCACUGGGCGUAAAGGGUGCGCAGGCGGCCGUGUGUGUGAGGCGUGAAAGCCCGGGGCUCAACCCCGGAAUUGCACCUCAAACUACAUGGCUAGAGCAUUGGAGAGGGGAGCGGAAUUCACGGUGUAGCAGUGAAAUGCGUAGAUAUCGUGAGGAACACCAGAGGCGAAGGCGGCUUCCUGGACAAUUGCUGACGCUCAGGCACGAAAGCGUGGGGAGCAAAAGGG
RNAcentral lists this ribosomal RNA (253 nucleotides) under uncultured bacterium. RNAcentral's name for it is "partial 16S ribosomal RNA". It matches the Rfam family "Bacterial small subunit ribosomal RNA", at positions 524 to 776 of the family's 1533-position model. The record is from RNAcentral.